AGGCACAUCGUAUAAUGGGGGUACAGUGGUCUUUGACACCAUAGGUAGAAGUUCAAUUCUUUUUGUGCCUG
RNAcentral lists this transfer RNA (71 nucleotides) under Caudoviricetes sp. RNAcentral describes it as "tRNA-Gln". It matches the Rfam family "tRNA". From Rfam's summary of the family: Transfer RNA (tRNA) molecules are approximately 80 nucleotides in length. Their secondary structure includes four short double-helical elements and three loops (D, anti-codon, and T loops). Further hydrogen bonds mediate the characteristic L-shaped molecular structure. tRNAs have two regions of fundamental functional importance: the anti-codon, which is responsible for specific mRNA codon recognition, and the 3' end, to which the tRNAs corresponding amino acid is attached (by aminoacyl-tRNA synthetases). tRNAs cope with the degeneracy of the genetic code in two manners: having more than one tRNA (with a specific anti-codon) for a particular amino acid; and 'wobble' base-pairing, i.e. permitting non-standard base-pairing at the 3rd anti-codon position. The record is from RNAcentral. Lineage: Duplodnaviria; Heunggongvirae; Uroviricota; Caudoviricetes.